GAACUGAAGAGUUUGAUCAUGGCUCAGAUUGAACGCUGGCGGCAGGCCUAACACAUGCAAGUCGAGCGGUAGAGAGAAGCUUGCUUCUCUUGAGAGCGGCGGACGGGUGAGUAAUACCUAGGAAUCUGCCUGAUAGUGGGGGAUAACGUUCGGAAACGGACGCUAAUACCGCAUACGUCCUACGGGAGAAAGCAGGGGACCUUCGGGCCUUGCGCUAUCAGAUGAGCCUAGGUCGGAUUAGCUAGUUGGUGAGGUAAUGGCUCACCAAGGCUACGAUCCGUAACUGGUCUGAGAGGAUGAUCAGUCACACUGGAACUGAGACACGGUCCAGACUCCUACGGGAGGCAGCAGUGGGGAAUAUUGGACAAUGGGCGAAAGCCUGAUCCAGCCAUGCCGCGUGUGUGAAGAAGGUCUUCGGAUUGUAAAGCACUUUAAGUUGGGAGGAAGGGCAGUAAAUUAAUACUUUGCUG
RNAcentral lists this ribosomal RNA (470 nucleotides) under Pseudomonas sp. FSL R10-0399. RNAcentral describes it as "bacterial SSU rRNA". It matches the Rfam family "Bacterial small subunit ribosomal RNA", at positions 1 to 472 of the family's 1533-position model. The record is from RNAcentral. Lineage: Bacteria; Pseudomonadati; Pseudomonadota; Gammaproteobacteria; Pseudomonadales; Pseudomonadaceae.